UGGGGAAUCUUGCACAAUGGGGGAAACCCUGAUGCAGCGACGCCGCGUGAGCGAUGAAGGUUUUCGCAUCGUAAAGCUCUGUCCUAUGGGAAGAUAAUGACGGUACCAUAGGAGGAAGCCCCGGCUAACUACGUGCCAGCAGCCGGGGUAAUACGUAGGGGGCGAGAGUUGUCCGGAAUUACUGGGCGUAAAGGGUUCGCAGGCGGCAUGACAAGUCCGAUGUAAAAGGCGAAAGCUCAACUUUCGUAAGCAUCGGAAACUGUCAAGCUUGAGUGAAGGAGAGGCAAGUGGAAUUCCUAGUGUAGCGGUGGAAUGCGUAGAUAUUAGGAGGAAUACCGGUGGCGAAGGCGACUUGCUGGACUUCAACUGACGCUGAGGAACGAAAGCGUGGGUAGCAAACAGG
Molecule: ribosomal RNA, 403 nt
Filed under: bacterium
Lineage: Bacteria
Description: partial 16S ribosomal RNA
Rfam family: Bacterial small subunit ribosomal RNA
Source: RNAcentral